AGGCUCCUACGGGGCGCAGCAGUGGGGAAUAUUGGGCAAUGGGGGGAACCCUGACCCAGCGACGCCGCGUGGGGGAAGAAGGUUUUCGGAUUGUAAACCUCUGUCCUUGGUGACGAUAAUGACGGUAGCCAAGGAGGAAGCCACGGCUAACUACGUGCCAGCAGCCGCGGUAAUACGGAGGGUGCAAGCGUUACUCGGAAUCACUGGGCGUAAAGAGCGCGUAGGCGGGUGGUCA
Molecule: ribosomal RNA, 235 nt
Filed under: uncultured bacterium
Lineage: Bacteria
Description: partial 16S ribosomal RNA
Rfam family: Bacterial small subunit ribosomal RNA
Source: RNAcentral